AAACCAACAGGGAUUGCCUCAGUAACGGCGAGUGAAGCGGCAACAGCUCAAAUUUGAAAUCUGGCUCUUUCAGGGUCCGAGUUGUAAUUUGUAGAAGAUGCUUUGGGUGUAGCUCCGGUCUAAGUUCCUUGGAACAGGACGUCAUAGAGGGUGAGAAUCCCGUACGUGACUGGGUGCUUUCGCUCGUGUAAAGCUCUUUCGACGAGUCGAGUUGUUUGGGAAUGCAGCUCAAAAUGGGUGGUAAAUUUCAUCUAAAGCUAAAUAUUGGCCAGAGACCGAUAGCGCACAAGUAGAGUGAUCGAAAGAUGAAAAGCACUUUGGAAAGAGAGUUAAACAGUACGUGAAAUUGUUGAAAGGGAAGCGCUUGCAACCAGACUUGCACGUUGUUGAUCAUCCGAGCUUCUGCCCGGUGCACUCGGCAGCGUUCAGGCCAGCAUCGGUUUCGGUGGGCGGAUAAAGGCCUUGGGAAUGUAGCUUCUUUCGGGGAGUGUUAUAGCCCUCGGUGCAAUGCGCCCUACCGGGACCGAGGACCGCGCUUCGGCUAGGAUGCUGGCGUAAUGGUUGUAAGCGAC
Molecule: ribosomal RNA, 572 nt
Filed under: Hyaloscypha desmidiacea
Lineage: Eukaryota; Fungi; Ascomycota; Leotiomycetes; Helotiales; Hyaloscyphaceae
Description: partial 28S ribosormal RNA
Rfam family: Eukaryotic large subunit ribosomal RNA
Source: RNAcentral